Molecule: ribosomal RNA, 460 nt
Filed under: uncultured bacterium
Lineage: Bacteria
Description: partial 16S ribosomal RNA
Rfam family: Bacterial small subunit ribosomal RNA
Source: RNAcentral
CCUACGGGUGGCAGCAGUGAGGAAUAUUGGUCAAUGGGCGCAAGCCUGAACCAGCCAAGUAGCGUGAAGGAUGACUGCCCUACGGGUUGUAAACUUCUUUUGUAAGGGAAUAAAGUGGGCCACGUGUGCAUUUUUGUAUGUACUUUAUGAAUAAGGAUCGGCUAACGCAGUGCCAGCAGCCGCGGUAAUACGGAGGGUCCGAGCGUUAUCCGGAUUUAUUGGGUUUAAAGGGAGCGUAGAUGGGUUUUUAAGUAAGUUGUGAAAGUUGGCGGCUCAACCUGAAGAGUGCAAUUGAUACUGGCAGCCUUGAGUACAGUGGAGGUAGGCGGAAUUCGUGGUGUAGCGGUGAAAUGCUUAGAUAUCACGAAGAACCCCGAUUGCGAAGGCAGCCUACUAAACUGCCACUGACACUGAUGCUCGAAAGCGUGGGUAUCAAACAGGAUUAGAUACCCCAGUAGUC